UUAAUAUAUUAUAAGUGCCGUAGACAGUAGGUGUUUUUACGUAAUGCUUUUUGCAACCUACCGAGGAAUUAGAAUCGUAGAUUUAUCCCUUGCUGUCUUUGCAAGGUUUUUUAUAUUUG
This 119-nucleotide small RNA is filed under the name chicken gut metagenome. RNAcentral describes it as "Ribosomal protein L10 leader". It matches the Rfam family "Ribosomal protein L10 leader". Rfam says of the family: This family is a putative r-protein leader autoregulatory structure found in B. subtilis and other low-GC Gram-positive bacteria. It is located in the 5' untranslated regions of mRNAs encoding ribosomal proteins L10 and L12 (rplJ-rplL). The record is from RNAcentral.